CCUGGCUCAGGACGAACGCUGGCGGCGUGCUUAACACAUGCAAGUCGAACGGGAACCUUUAUUUCGGUAAAGGUGAGAGUGGCAAACGGGUGAGUAACACGUAGGCAACCUGCCGACAGGAUGGGGACAACAUUCCGAAAGGAAUGCUAAUACCGAAUGGAGUCGGGAGAUGGCAUCAUCUCCGGAUAAAAGAUGGCCUCUUAGCAAUGCUAUCGCCUGUCGAUGGGCCUGCGUCUGAUUAGCCAGUUGGCGGGGUAACGGCCCACCAAAGCGACGAUCAGUAGCCGGUCUGAGAGGAUGAACGGCCACAUUGGGACUGAGACACGGCCCAGACUCCUACGG
RNAcentral lists this ribosomal RNA (342 nucleotides) under uncultured bacterium. Its description in RNAcentral is "bacterial SSU rRNA". It matches the Rfam family "Bacterial small subunit ribosomal RNA", at positions 18 to 344 of the family's 1533-position model. The record is from RNAcentral.